Molecule: long non-coding RNA, 4180 nt
Organism: Taeniopygia guttata (zebra finch)
Lineage: Eukaryota; Metazoa; Chordata; Aves; Passeriformes; Estrildidae
Source: Ensembl
CACAGCAACUGACCUGGAUGGGUACCAAAGACCAUAAAAAUUUGAAGGCUGUACUCUAUCUAGCAUUAAGAAAGCAAAAGAAAAAACUAAUGAUGUAGACAACUUGUUUACAAGAUUUAAGAUGCAAAUAAUGCAUUUCUAAAAUUAAUUUAUUUGAAUAUUUAAUCUUUGGUAUUUUUCUUCUGUUCCUAAAUUCCUGAGAGUUUCUGCAAUUUCUGUAUUUGCUUUGGAACUCUCACUGAAGAACUUCUGUCCUUAGAGUCUUGCACAGUUAUUUCCCCCUGAGAGAAGGCAGCCAGAUUAUAAACAAGUGGCAAACUUCUGCGGAGAAGUCCACAGAGGCAAAUACAAAAAUGCUUGUAGCAACAGAUGAAGCUGGAAAAGGAAAGAGAGGAGUCCAUGUUGAUUAAAAGUAUGUUACUAUUUAGACAGAAUAAUAUUGGAAAAUCCUUUUGUGAUGUAUGGAUCUUCCUUACAAAUACUUGUAAGUUUUAGUAUAGCUGUGAUACAAAGAAAGAAGGGGACUUCUGGCCAUAGCUGGGUCUUGCAGAUGAAUAGAUGCAGAAUGUCACCUUAAUCAAAUGGGAGCUCUGACAGACACUUCUAAACCUCAGCACUCUUCCAGCUCAUGCCUCGCUGGAUCUGCAUGGCUGGUGACUUUACCAAGCUUCAGAGAGCUGUUUUUAGCUAGAUUGCUACAAAUAAGAAAAAAGUUGUUACUACUUUUUGUCUAAAAGACUAAAAUGUGUCUUUGCAAGAAAGUUGGUGCAAGAUUCCAAAACAGUCAGGAUGAUCCCACUGUCUUCUUAUAGAAAAAUAAAAAACAAGAGAGAGAGAGAGAGAGAGAGAGAGAGAGAGAGGGGGGGGGGGGGGGGGGGGGAGAGAGAGAGAGAGAGGAAAGAUCCUAAAUACUCUACAAAACUAAUUAAAAAACCAACAAAACCCCAAACUCCAACCUAUCCACCUUUCUCCAAACAUAUCACUCAACAUGCUCCACAUAAUUCACAAAUACUGACAAAUAAGCAUUUCCUUGAGUGGAGAAGCCAUAAAAUUUGUUGCCCAAUAGAAACUGUCUGCAGAUCCAGCUCUUGCAAGGGUGUUGCCACUGAAAUGGCUCUUCCACAAGCAGUGUAGUAAUAGAUCCUCUCUUUCUCCGGCUGCUAACAUCCUAGAAGUUUUAAAAAAAUAUUUAGUUUUAAUUUUCUAUUUCAAUAUUAGGAUUUUUUUUCUGAAAUUAGGUAACACUUUUAAGAAGAAAGAAGGGACUGAUUAAUUUUAUCACCCUGCAUGCCUCCCUGAUUUAAGAACACAGGUCAAAUAACUUUAUAUACUGUACACAGUGUGUGAGUGCUUUGGUGGAGAUUAGUAGCAAUCUCUACCAAAACUAGCUAGCUAGUUUGCUGUUGCAGCUAUUGGUAGAGUAACAAAAUCUGGUUCCCCUAUGACUGCAAAUAAUCCUAAAAUGGAUAUCUCCACAAGGUUCCUUCCAUACACAGGUAUUUGCUAAUUAAAUCUCCUGGCUGACCUGUGGCAAAGAUGUGCAUACUCACCUUUCAGAAGCAGUCGGUGGGUGCAGUUAUAGGAGUUAAAAAAAGAAAAUGUUUGCCUAUAUUUUCUAAUAUAUGCUUUGUGCAUUAACUGCAUGACUACUUAGAAAGUGCUGUCAGCUCCUUGGGAGCUGGAGUCUACAGUAUCUGGAAUACAUCAGACCCUGACUACCUGAAAAUACAGCUGUUCAGGCCAGAGCUACCUAGCCACAUAAAUACAGAAGUAAAUACAUUUAUUCAUGUACACAUAAAGAAGCAUACUUUUUCCUUUCAGCCCAGAUGAUUCUUUGAUUUCUUCACCAUAUAAUGUGAUAUUAGUUAUCCAUUCCAUUUUCAGUGUGUGUAUGGUGCCCAUCCUGCCUAGAGAUCACAGAAUCACAGAAGACAUGAAGGCUAGGUAAUGAAAGUGAUAUAAAUUUUGCAGUUGUCUUUAGCAUGACAACAACAAUGGCAAAGAUUUUAAUUUCUUCCUCCCUUAUCUCCAUUCUACCAGAUACCUCAAAAUUGUGUUUUCAUAGGAGAAGAAAGCCCACACCACAGUAGCUCGCUCCUAGACACUUAUAUUAAAUAAACAUGUAUUUAAUAACUAUUUAUUCAGAUAUUUUAUUGCACACAUAUAACUGAAAAAAAAUGUACAGGUGCUAUUACUAAUUCUCAAAACUUUUUGCACAUCUUGGCAGUCAUGCCCAUAAUUUACUAUUUUGUUAAGUAAGUCCACAGUUCUUAGUUACUAAUUAUGUGUUACUCCAAGCCACAGGAUGUACAUUACAUUCAUACAUGCAGGAACUAAAAUCAAAAUUAAUCUCCCAAAAACCAUUUAGCAUUCUUUCUUCACUGGAAAUAAAAGCCUUAUAAAUAUUACUUUGGUGCAUUAGUUAUCAAAUUUCCUCUUUAAGCCUUUCUUUCUGCAAAAGCUUUUACUAAAGAGCCCAGUGCAUUAAAUCUGAACACCUGUCCAGCUUUUAUUUGCAUGGAUUGAAAAAAAAAAUUUUUGAUUGGAUUGUGGUAUGUGAAAAAUAAUUUUAGAGAGAUGCCAAUAUAUAAACCAAAUUCUUGGUGAAUAUAGAGCACACCUUGAUUUUCCCAUACACAGCAAAUAAAUUUCAAAGUUUUAAUGCUGUUAGGAGGACUUAGUAUUAGUCUUUGUAUACAGUUAUGUCAUUACACAUUUCUUGGUGUAAGUUUGAGGAGAAAUAUUGACUUCUUUAUGCUGGCCUUAAAUGACUCCAGGUAUAGUUCCUAAAUCCAUAUGCCAGUACAGAAAUAACCAGCUAAGUUUUAGAGCUUUGAGAAUGCAUUAGCUUCAAUCAAAUUUCCAGAUACUUUACACAUCAUAAUAUUUCUAAAGUACUUUGCUUCCCUAAACAACAGCACACCCCCUUGAAUUCUGACCAUACUGUCCAUUUAAACUAAUUAUUAUAUUUGUUUUGGGAACAAAUGUAACUGUUGCCUAUUAUGUAAACAAAAAUACCAUUGUCCAGUUUUAUCAGCUUCAACAUAAUUGACUGCACCCUCCAAAAAAUUAAAUUUUAACUGUAAUUGUAUCAUCUGCUAUUGUGUUUGCAGAUACUGAGUCUCCAUUCUCUUAAAUAUGCUACAUUUUAUUUGAGGCACUGUAUGCAUCUCAUUUCACAGAGAUGUAGUAAAGAAAAUAGGAAAGGAUAAAGUGGAUGGUGGUUUGUUGGUUUCUUUUUCCUCUAAAACAUACCUAGAACAUCCUGCAUUGCAAGAGGCAGGGUUGCUUAGUAGUACAAUUCAUAAGGAAGACAGACAUUGUCUUGCACGAUCUCUUGAAAUGGAAGCUUUCUUCAGUCUGCUAUCAGGAUUAGUUGCAGGAAGAGGAAAGAUCAGCUAUCCUUCCAGUCGCGUCAAUGAAUCUUGGAGUUAAACAUCUGAGUGAAGAGUAACAGAAAACAAAAGGAAAAAGUCAGACCUUAGUGAUAAGGUGAAAUUAGACAUGAAAAUAAUUAGUUCUGCCAUAAUUAUUGUAUUCUCUGACAGUGAUAUAGAGUUUCUGUCAAAUGUGAUUUAAAGCUAGGAUGGGAUAAUCUAAUCCAUUUAGGUUGCUGAUUCAAUGUUUUUUCUUAAGUACUUUAAUGCUAAAAGGAAAAUAUGUAGUUAAUAUUAAACACAUGCUAAGUAAGAAUGUUAAGUAUCCUAUUGCAAAAAAAAUUCAAGUAUCAUACUGCAAAAUAAAUAUCGACUGCAGUCUCCUUUGUGGAGAGCAGCCCUCUACUUCUCAUAUGAAGCAUUACUUUGGCAAUUGGAGAGCAAGUUUCAAGGCUGACUACAACCAACAAUUAAUGUGAAGAUCCAGUGAUAGCAAACAAAACAUGGAACAAGUGUGCUUACUUCCCUUGUAGCCUCCUCUCCCCUGGUAUAUUGGUGUCACAGGCAGCUUCAGCCAGUAUCACAUAUCUUUAGAGUCACUCAGCUUCUGCUGACACCAUUAUAGAAUAUGGUAUCCCAGACUUAUUUCUUUCAAAAUUGUGUGAAUUCAACCAAAAACUUCUUUUAAACUUAAGUGAAUCCCAUUUAAAAUUAAAAGCAGUGUAUUUUUAGUUCCUAAACACUUUGCUUCAGAAGAGAUAUGGACCAAAAUCUUUAAGGAGGUCUUCCUUUUUCUCUGUGCU